This is a long non-coding RNA of Anser brachyrhynchus (Pink-footed goose), 1652 nucleotides long. NCBI's taxonomy places the organism in Eukaryota, Metazoa, Chordata, Aves, Anseriformes, Anatidae. The record is from Ensembl.
AAUAUAAUACAUAUAAUGGAUAUCUCUAAUAUAAAAUAGCUAUACAUAAUAUAUAAUAGAUAUAAUUAAUGGAUAUAUCUAAUGCGUGUAAUAUAUCUAAUAUGUAUACCAUAUAUUAUAACGAAUAUAUAACGAAUAUUGUAAUUAAUAUUUAAUGAAUAUGAUAUAGAGAGAGGAUAUUGGAGAUAUAACAGAUAUAUCGAAUAUAUAUAAUAUAUAUGAUAUAUAUAAAAUAUAUAUUAUAUACAAUAUAUAUAUCGAAUAUAUCAAAUAUAUAUUAUAUUUUAUGGACCUACUAUAGGCUAUUUAAUGAUUUAUAUCAUGCUAGAUAAACUAAUUUAAUUUAAUUAAUUAGCCGAAGGAAACCUAUAUAUUUUUAUAGAGAUAUUUGUAAAUCUAAACAUUAAUUAAUCGGCAGUAAAUAUUUCUAUAUUAACGAGAUUUUAAUCUUUAUAAAACUAAUUAUGCCCACUAAAUUUAUAGAAAAUUUAUUAAUUAUCUCUAUAUUAAUAGAUAGGCGAGAUACACAUUAGACAUUCUUGAUCGACAACCUAUAGGCCCCAAUUUAACCAAAUUCAGCCGUUUUUAGCUAAAAUCAAAAGACAUUAAAACGGACAAAUGAGGGGACAGGAAAACGCAAAAAUUAAAGAAAGCCACCCAACCUGCCCCCAAAAAUGCAAGAUUUGGGUCCGGAAAGGUGAAAAACUGCAAGUUUUUUUUAAUUUCAACCUUUCCGAAGGGAUUAAUUAGCACUAAUUAGCUUGAUUGAUUUUCCAAAUUUUACAUUAAGCCACUGAACCCAGUCCUCAAACCACAUUUAUUUGGCUUUUGCCCCAAUUCGGACUUUUUCAAAGAAAUUAGCGCUUCGCGCUUAACGAGGAUGGUGUGGGGACUUAAUGAGCUAGGUUAAUUAGAGGCUGCUAGGGACUAAUUGCACUAAUUGAUUGUUGUAAUUGGAUGAGUUUAAAUGCACUGGUUGCUGGGACUGGCCCAGUAUGGACCAGUAUGAGGGCUCUGGAACUGGAGAUACUAAACUGGAUGUACUGGGGCUAUAGGCUGCUGGUACUGGACCAGUACAGACCAGUAGAGGGGCUGUGGCACCAGUACUGGCUGUACUGGGACCAGUACGGGAGCUCCGGCCCCUGUACUGCCUGUACUGGGACAAGUACAGGGGUCCCGGCACCAAUACUGCCUGUACUGGGACCAGUACGGGGCCCCGGCACCUGUACUGGUGGUACUGGGACCAGUAUGGGAGCUCCGGCACCUGUACUGGUGGUACUGGGGCCAGUAUGGGAGCUCUGGCACCUGUACUGGUGGUACUGGGACCAGUACAGGAGCGCCAGCACCAGUACUGGUGGUUACUGGAACCAGUACAGGGGGUUCCGGCACCAUUACUGGUUGUACUGGGACCAUUAUGGGGGACCCAGCACCUGUACUGGUGGUACUGGGACCAGUAUGGGAGUGCCAGCACCAGUACUGGUGGUACUGGAACCAGUACAGGAGCUCCAGCAUCAUUACUGCCCAUACUGGGACCAGUGCAGGGGUUCCGGCACCAGUACUGCUCAUACUGGGACCAGUACGGGGGCUCCGGCACCAGUACUGGUGGUCCUGGGACCAGUAGGGGGCUGUGGCACCCAUUCUGGUGGUACUGG